RNAcentral lists this ribosomal RNA (803 nucleotides) under uncultured bacterium. RNAcentral's name for it is "bacterial SSU rRNA". It matches the Rfam family "Bacterial small subunit ribosomal RNA", at positions 8 to 813 of the family's 1533-position model. The record is from RNAcentral.
AGAGUUUGAUCCUGGCUCAGGAUGAACGCUGGCGGCGUGCCUAACACAUGCAAGUCGAACGAAGCACCUUACUUGAUUCUUCGGAUGAAGGUCUGGUGACUGAGUGGCGGACGGGUGAGUAACGCGUGGGUAACCUGCCCUGUACAGGGGGAUAACAGCUGGAAGCGGCUGCUAAUACCGCAUAAGCGCACGAGGAGACAUCUCCUUGUGUGAAAAACUCCGGUGGUACAGGAUGGGCCCGCGUCUGAUUAGCUGGUUGGCAGGGUAACGGCCUACCAAGGCAACGAUCAGUAGCCGGUCUGAGAGGAUGAACGGCCACAUUGGAACUGAGACACGGUCCAAACUCCUACGGGAGGCAGCAGUGGGGAAUAUUGCACAAUGGGGGAAACCCUGAUGCAGCAACGCCGCGUGAGUGAAGAAGUAUUUCGGUAUGUAAAGCUCUAUCAGCAGGGAAGAUAAUGACGGUACCUGACUAAGAAGCUCCGGCUAAAUACGUGCCAGCAGCCGCGGUAAUACGUAUGGAGCAAGCGUUAUCCGGAUUUACUGGGUGUAAAGGGUGCGUAGGUGGCAGUGCAAGUCAGAUGUGAAAGGCCGGGACUCAACCCCGGAGCUGCAUUUGAAACUGCUCGGCUAGAGUACAGGAGAGGCAGGCGGAAUUCCUAGUGUAGCGGUGAAAUGCGUAGAUAUUAGGAGGAACACCAGUGGCGAAGGCGGCCUGCUGGACUGUUACUGACACUGAGGCACGAAAGCGUGGGGAGCAAACAGGAUUAGAUACCCUGGUAGUCCACGCCGUAAACGAUGAA